GAUGAAGAACGCAGCGAAAUGCGAUAAGUAGUGUGAAUUGCAGAAUUCAGUGAAUCAUCGAAUCUUUGAACGCACCUUGCGCCCUUUGGCCAUUCCGAAGGGCAUGCCUGUUUGAGUAUCAUGAACACCUCAACUCCUCAUGGUCUUCUAUGAUGAGCUUGGACUUUGGGGGCUUGCUGGCCCAUUUGGUCAGCUCCUCUCAAAUGAAUCAGCCUACCAGUGUUUGGUGGCACCACAGGUGUGAUAACAAUCUACGCUUGAGGUUUUCCACCAGGCAACCUUCAGUAAUUGGGGUUCACUGGGGCUCACAAAUGUCUUUCUUCAGUGAGGACAGCUCUUUGAAUGUUUGAUCUCAAAUCAGGUAGGACUACCCGCUGAACUUAAGCAUAUCAAUAAGCGGAGGA
RNAcentral lists this unclassified non-coding RNA (404 nucleotides) under soil metagenome. RNAcentral describes it as "partial contains 5.8S ribosomal RNA, internal transcribed spacer 2, and large subunit ribosomal RNA". The stretch from base 1 to 121 matches the Rfam family "5.8S ribosomal RNA", at positions 35 to 154 of the family's 154-position model. The record is from RNAcentral.